RNAcentral lists this microRNA precursor (64 nucleotides) under Petromyzon marinus (sea lamprey). Its description in RNAcentral is "Pma-Mir-219-o2_pre stem-loop". It matches the Rfam family "mir-219 microRNA precursor family", at positions 6 to 71 of the family's 79-position model. From Rfam's summary of the family: The hairpin precursors (represented here) are predicted based on base pairing and cross-species conservation -- their extents are not known. In this case the mature sequence is excised from the 5' arm of the hairpin. Lineage: Eukaryota; Metazoa; Chordata; Hyperoartia; Petromyzontiformes; Petromyzontidae. The record is from RNAcentral.
UGAUUGUCCAAACGCAAUUCUUGAUGUUUGCUUGAAAGGCCGAGGCUUGUGUCUGGACAUCGGC